AUUGGCCUUACAUGCUCUUAAUGCUUAACAUUUCACACCAAUUCUCACAUUUCAAUUCAUUCAUUUCCUCUUCCUAACUUGUUUCAUUUCCCCUUUAACACAGAAACACAAACUAUUUGUUCAUCAUAUCAUAUACCCUUUUCAUUUUUCUUUUUUCUACAACAAGUGUAGUUUUUGUUUUCAUCUUCUUCUGCAUUCUCUACCAAAAAGUGGAGGAAGUGUUCUGUUACCACAAAGAACAAGGGGACAAGUGUUUUUUCGCAGAAUUAACGAUGAUGGGUCUGGGAAGGUUGGUAGGGACUCUAAAAUCCAAAAUAAGGUCUUUGAAACUGAGGAAACCUUAUGAUAAGAUGGAGAAGAGUGAGAGCAUGAGAGUGGAGAUAAGAAGCAGAAAAGCCAGAAAACUCAUUGAAGAGACCUUAAAAAUUGCUGAUUCACCUAAGUCCAGAACCUUCACUUUAUGAUGCUUAUGUAUUAUUGUGUUGGUAAAAACUCUUCAAUAAUUAAGUUUUUCUGCUAUUCAUAUACAUGAGUCUUUGAAUUUCAA
Vigna unguiculata (cowpea) is the source of this 547-nucleotide long non-coding RNA. RefSeq lists it as uncharacterized. NCBI's taxonomy places the organism in Eukaryota, Viridiplantae, Streptophyta, Magnoliopsida, Fabales, Fabaceae. The record is from RefSeq and is a predicted model, not a curated record.